This is a long non-coding RNA of Culex pipiens pallens (northern house mosquito), 563 nucleotides long. RefSeq lists it as uncharacterized. The record is from RefSeq and is a predicted model, not a curated record. The transcript has 2 exons. NCBI's taxonomy places the organism in Eukaryota, Metazoa, Arthropoda, Insecta, Diptera, Culicidae.
AAAAGUUGGAUGACAUCAAAAAGUGUCACUUAUUUAGUUUUGAUUGCUGGUUUGUGAUAAAUAAAUUUUCACGGAAUAAAAACGGCUGUGAAUGAAUUCCAGUGUCCGAUGGACCGAAAAAAAAAUGUCACGCCAAGUGUUGACCAGGACAACAGCAGUAAAAUCAGAAAAUGCAUAACCGCAAUCUGCAGCAGCUGGUUGGACCAAUCGUCGAAUAUUUGAUUCUCGAUAUAAAGGCCCGGAAGGCGAUUACGUGAGUCCUGCGAUUCGCUGGUUGAUAAGGCCUUCGCAGAAAUCCACAGCCGCUUUGUCGUGAUGUCAACAACCUGAUUGAAUGCAGUUCCAUUCGCAGUUGUUCCGUGGGUUGUUCAAAUAACGUCCAGAGAUUCCAGAGUACCCCCCAAACCCUUCCCCUUUUCAUUGACGUAGUUUUUGAACGAAACCUCCCUGGCAAAGUACUUCAGACCCAUUUAGACCUAUUAUCAAGUUUAAUUCUGGUAAUGUGAAAAAUGUGAGCGACGAGAUUAAUAAAAAUAAAUUGAGUUCGUUUUUUUUUAUAACAA